Molecule: transfer RNA, 73 nt
Filed under: Ictidomys tridecemlineatus (thirteen-lined ground squirrel)
Lineage: Eukaryota; Metazoa; Chordata; Mammalia; Rodentia; Sciuridae
Description: Spermophilus tridecemlineatus (thirteen-lined ground squirrel) tRNA
Rfam family: tRNA
About the family: Transfer RNA (tRNA) molecules are approximately 80 nucleotides in length. Their secondary structure includes four short double-helical elements and three loops (D, anti-codon, and T loops). Further hydrogen bonds mediate the characteristic L-shaped molecular structure. tRNAs have two regions of fundamental functional importance: the anti-codon, which is responsible for specific mRNA codon recognition, and the 3' end, to which the tRNAs corresponding amino acid is attached (by aminoacyl-tRNA synthetases). tRNAs cope with the degeneracy of the genetic code in two manners: having more than one tRNA (with a specific anti-codon) for a particular amino acid; and 'wobble' base-pairing, i.e. permitting non-standard base-pairing at the 3rd anti-codon position.
Source: Rfam by way of RNAcentral
GGGGCUGUAGCUCAGUUGAUAGAGUGCUUGCCUUGCAUGCACAAAGCCCUGGGUUCAAUCCCCAGCACCAUUA